GGCCGCCGUUCGCCCGAAACCGCGCCGCGCCACGAGGCCGACCCUCGGCUCCAAGAUGCGCCGUCUCGACGGCAAGAAGCGCCGCAGCGACGUCAAGGCAAAGCGCAAUACGCGCAGUUUCGACGAUUGAGAAUUAGCGGGUAAAACAUACCUGUUCGGCCGUACAAUCGAGCCAAUCCCCGGGUAAAAUACGCCGGAUCCGCGAAUCGCCCCGGAAUUCCCAUGCCCGUCCGCCAGCUCCCCAUUCAAAUCGUCAACCGCAUCGCCGCCGGCGAGGUGGUUGAACGGCCCGCCAGCGCGGUGAAGGAACUGGUGGAGAACGCCAUCGAUGCCGG
This 335-nucleotide unclassified non-coding RNA is filed under the name Hevea brasiliensis (rubber tree). The record is from RNAcentral. Lineage: Eukaryota; Viridiplantae; Streptophyta; Magnoliopsida; Malpighiales; Euphorbiaceae.